CCCCUGCCUGCUAAAUAGUUGGGCGAAUGAAURUUCAUUGGCURCAGCUUCUUAGAGGGACGUGCGUUCUAUUAGACGCAGGAAGAUAGGGGCAAUAACAGGUCUGUGAUGCCCUUAGAUGUCCUGGGCCGCACGCGCGUUACACUGAUGCACUCAACGAGUCUACCUUGGCCGAGAGGCCUGGGAAAUCUUGUUAACWUGCAUCGUGAUAGGGAUAGAUUAUUGCAAUUAUUAAUCUUGAACGAGGAAUUCCUAGUAAACGCAGAUCAUCAAUCUGCAUUGAUUACGUCCCUGCCCUUUGUACACACCGCCCGUCGCACCUACCGAUUGAAUGGUCCGGUGAAGCCUCGGGAUUGCGAUGAGUUUCCUUCAUUGGGAGUUCGUCGCGAGAACCUGUCUAAACCUUAUCAUUUAGAGGAAGGUGAAGUCGUAACAAGGUUUCC
RNAcentral lists this ribosomal RNA (443 nucleotides) under Fragilariales sp. endosymbiont of Amphistegina lessonii. RNAcentral describes it as "SSU rRNA". It matches the Rfam family "Eukaryotic small subunit ribosomal RNA", at positions 1352 to 1824 of the family's 1831-position model. The record is from RNAcentral. Lineage: Eukaryota; Bacillariophyta; Fragilariophyceae; Fragilariales.